Long non-coding RNA from Myotis daubentonii (Daubenton's bat), 661 nucleotides. RefSeq lists it as uncharacterized. NCBI's taxonomy places the organism in Eukaryota, Metazoa, Chordata, Mammalia, Chiroptera, Vespertilionidae. The record is from RefSeq and is a predicted model, not a curated record.
GAUCACAACAGAAUAUUCGUCAGCUUUAUGCUGAUGGGCCAAAAUGAGGUUUUUUCUCUUCACUUCCUCGUCCUUGGGCGUGGUUGGCAAAUGGCACUAGUUGGAUUUCUCUAUCUGUCUCCCUGAGUAGGGAGAUUUAAGCUGUUCACCCUCUGGUUGGGGAGGAGAAGUGCAAACCGUUUACUCUGAGCGUCCCUGGUUUAGGGAAGAUAGGAUUUACUAGGUGGCUGCAAACUGCUGUUUAGCUCCCUGUCUCAGUUGCCCUAUUCCGCUGUCCUCGCUUACCAGCCUGUCUCAUAGCCAGGGCCCAGGAGGUGAGAAGCUGGUGAGAUUUCCUGAGCCCCAAGGCUCCCCCACACUAGCUGUUCUCUCCCUGCCUGCUUGCCGGAACUGAUCUGCAGUGAGGUCUCAGGGUGGAGAGGACAGUGAGAUCAAGGCAGCAUCAACAACCCAAAAGGCACAUGGUUUUCAUUAAUAUUUCAUGGAGAUUUAUAAAACUGACACGAGUGCUUCCACUUACACCUGAUGUGACAAAUAAACUAAUAUAAAUGCUCUUCUGAGAUGUGCAACAAGUAAAAGUGUAUGUCAAGUUAGCCUUGCAUUGGAAGGGCUCAUCAAAUUGUGGGCCCAUCUUGCCAAAUUGCCAACUCUUCAAUUUUUU